Molecule: long non-coding RNA, 1890 nt
Filed under: Mytilus galloprovincialis (Mediterranean mussel)
Lineage: Eukaryota; Metazoa; Mollusca; Bivalvia; Mytilida; Mytilidae
Source: RNAcentral
UUUUUUUUCUGUUUUAUUAUUUUUAGUAUGUUUCUUCUAUCAAUAAAUCAACAACUACUAGAAACUUAUAUAUGAUUAAAAUAAUUUAUUAGCAUAAUAAAUACAUAACAAUAAAAUAAUGUGAACAUGUGAUACAUGUAAACUAUGGAAUAACAGAAUACCAUUAGCCAGGUCUGCCACCUGUUAACUGUUGUUGUCCUACUGGUAAAUUACGAAAAGGGCUAUUUGUAAUAGGAACCAUGGUAAGGUGUUGCAUAGGUACAUUCUGAAAGCUGAUUAAGUCUUUCAUGUCUAUAUUCAGUGCAUCUCAAACAAAUGCAAACUGGUAAAAUGUGCACUAAAUAAUGAGCAUGACAGGUUUUAAGUUCAUGCAAUAACCUCAUAAAAUCUUCUGCACUUAUAUGUCCCUGUGAAUUAACUCCAUGUAAAUUAAGUAAAUAAAACUCAUUAAUGACAGAACGAUACAUUGGUUUGAUAUAAAGCGAAUGAAUUGCAACAGCAUUUUUUGCACUGAUUUUUCGUGGCAGAAGCAGUUUAACAAAGUCUGUUUCCAGUUGGAACUUUUCAAUCAGUGGAACAAGAAGAGCUGUUUUGCCCUCUCUACAUCUUUUUACUUCACUAUUGUCAUUUACUAAGCAUUUAAAUAAAAAGCCUAAUGUAAAAUUGCGAUUAUACUCCGAUAAAAUAAUUUCUAUUUCUAUUACAUCAUUUUCAUUUUGCAUUUGCAUAUAAUUAUUAACAACAUCUAAUAAAAACUCACUUCUUUUUAGUGCUAAAUGAACUUUGGUCUGGGGCGCAAUGGUAACCACACUGGGUUCACCAUCAUGACCAAAGUUUAAAUGAAGAAUUAGCUUAUUCAUGAUAGAAUUGCAAUAUCCCUUUUCCUUUUUUUUUCCCUAACUUUUAAUUAUAGUUCCCUAUUAAGAAUUAUAUUCUUGCCCGCCCCAAAAAGGAAAAAGGAUAGAAUCAGAUAUGUUUUCAAGAUGCUUCUACACCAUAGCAAACCUUCAGACAAUCAUGUGGAUAUUGUUUUUAAAACACUCUUUGAAUGUCCAAACAUUUGGUCUUUAAUGUGACCCUUGAAGGUUAAUCAAGAAUCAACAAAAAUAUAGUUUAAUAUAUCCAAUUAUCUUUAACAAUGACAAAAUAUAAACAGUUUAUAAAUUAUUCUUAUAAUUCAUCAUUGCAGUGGGUCAAACAGCAUAACACUUCUAUAGGCCACGGUGGACUGAAUAUAAUAUAUAUUAACUAGAGGCUCUAAAGAGCCUGUGUCGCUCACCUUGGCAUAUGUGAAUUAAACACAGGAAGCAGACAGUUCAUGACAAAAUUUGGUUAAGGUGAUUGGGAUGUGUUUGAACAUCUUACUUUACUGAACAUUUUUGCUGCUUACAAUUAUCUGUGUCUAUAAUGAACUUGUCCGUGUAGUUUCAGUGGAAAAUGUUAGUAAAAAUUUACAAAUUUUAUGAAAAUUUUUAAAAAUUGAUUAUAAAGGACAAUUACUUCUUAGGGGGUCAAUUGACCAUUUUGGUCAUUUUGACUUAUUUUUGAGUCUUAAAUUGCUGUACAUUAUUGCUGUUUACAGUUUAUCUCUAUCUAUAAUAAUAUUCAAGAUAAUAACCCAAAACAGCAAAAUUUCCUUAAAAUUACCAAUUUAGGGGCAGCAACCUAACAACGCGUUGUCCGAUUCAUCUAAAUAUUUCAGGGCAGAUAGAUCUUGACCAGAUAAACAAUGUUACUUCUUGUCAGAUUUGCUCUAAAUGCUUUGGUUUUUGAGUUAUAAGCCGAAAACUGCAUUUUACCCCUAUGUUCUAUUUUUAACCGUAGCGACCAUCUUUGUUGGUUAGCCCGGUCACAAAACACAAUUUUUAAACUUAAUAGCCUAAUAAUGAU